RNAcentral lists this long non-coding RNA (32242 nucleotides) under Zea mays. RNAcentral's name for it is "long non-coding RNA (ZMAY_LNC000219)". Lineage: Eukaryota; Viridiplantae; Streptophyta; Magnoliopsida; Poales; Poaceae. The record is from RNAcentral.
UCUAAAUUUGGCAAUCCUGGAAAUCCUAAAACCGCAUGAAGUAGAUACAGUCAUCGGCUAGCAGCAAGAAAUAUCGUUGCCCUCUGUGCGUCAGUGGAGUGAUUAGCCUGCAAAGGUGGCCGUGGACGAGCUCCAGCGAGAUACUUGCUUGCUGCCUUAGGAAAGGAGCUUCCUCUGCUUCCCCACCAACCAUGUAUCUGCUCCCUUGCCAUCCACCCGAGCACGUCGAAGCUCAGGUGCUCAAAGUGGGCAUGCCGCAACCACGGCUCCUCGUUGUACCACGCCACCAAGCACACUAGCUGCACAAUGUUCAGAUCAACCAGGUAGAGGCGGUUCUUGGAGAACUUUAUCUUGGCGAGGAGAAUAUGCUCGUAACCGUGGAUGCAUAUGAUGAAUUGAUGAUGCUAUUGUCGAGGACUUGGCACCUGCCUUCGUCCAUCUGCCCGAUGCUAACAAUGCUUGGGCAAAGCCUCAGGAUAAUACACAUCUGUCAGCGCCUGAUGCUCGUUGUUCUGGCACUUCGCCUUCCUCGGUUCUGUAGUGCUCUGCUACACCAUAGACCAUAGAGUAUUUAUACAAUGCUAGUACCAACUAUAAGGUACACUAGUUUAUGGGUGAUCUCAGCCCCAACUACUUCUAUAUAUGUCUGUCUGAUGCAUCCCACUACAUAGAUUGGCCUGUUGCCAUGCUAAUACAGCACCCUGGGUGAACAAUAACAGCUGACCAAAUGCCAACUCCACGCUGCAGCAAAACAAUCAAGGAGAGCAGCAUAUUAUCUUACAAGGCUUCUAGCUCUUUUAUCCGAUUGAAAACACUAAGUUCAGAGACAUUAUAUUGCAGCUCUUUUAUCGAACCUAGAUGCCCACCCUGUCUACAAACUACAGCAGACAGCUCGACACCAGUCCUCUCGGCGUACUUGUGAACUUGUGGUUAAGGAAAAAGAAUUUCCUGGAGCUUGAAGCUACAGAAGUAAAAAAAAAAUGCAUAGCACACGACACAGCACGUAAGAAACUACGGAAGGGAUACCUGCCAGCAACAAGAACAGGACGGAAACACAUGCUCCCAACUACUCCUGUAUGGCUGCCUGAUGCAUGCCACUACACAGAUUGACCUGUUGCCAUACUACUACAGCACCCUUGAUGGACAGCAAGAGCUGACCAAAUGACAACUCCACGCUACAACAAAAUAUUCAAGAAGAGCAGCAAAUUUGCUCAGACCCAAAUUGCAGUCAGAAAACGAAGUUUAGAAAACACAAAGUUCAGAAAAGAAUCACAGACCUAGAUGCCCAUCCUGUCUACAAACUACAGCAGACAGCUAGACACCAGUCCUCUCGGGCUCUCGGCAUACUUGUGGAGUUGUGGUUGAGGAAAAAAGAAUUUCCUGGAGCUUGAAGCUACAGAAGCACAUAAAAAUGCAGACCACACAGCAGAGCACUUAAGAAAGGUAUACCUGCCAGCAACAAGCACAGGACGGAAGCACAAAUUUAAUUUAGAAACAUGUCUUGGCCAAUAUUCUUACUUUCUUCAAAGAAAGAUAGUAAAGGUAUGAGACAUUCCAUAUUCUAAUUAGCCUCACGUAGGACUAAUUGCCACAUGAAAAGUAAAAGCCAUAGCCACAGUUAGUUACUUCAUUCUGUCGGAGAAAUACACAUUGGCAAUUGUUCACAAUCAAGGAAUGAUAUAAAAAGUGAAAUAGCGGAGCAAAUGCAAGCGGAAAAAACAGGGAACCGCGGGGACAACAGCAUUAGCUGACCCAUUCGCUUCUGACUUGAUCCUGAAUUCUGGAGCUUCAAGAGGAGAGAGCGUCGCGUUGGGGUGACAUCGAGGUGCCUGUUUAGAACAUAAAAUGUUUUAAAUAUUGAGAAACUCAUCAAUUGUGCUGGAAAAUGAAUAAGUAGAACCUGUACCUUCUCAUUUAUUUCAAGUGGCAAGUCUAAAGAAGCAAGUUUGGUAUUAGCAGUUGAUGUGCGUCCGGCGAAGGUGCGAAAUCUUUGGCCAGCUUUCCCCAUCAGGUUCUUGGCAGUUCUUCUUCAAGACGGGGCAAUUUACUAUACUUAUGCGCUGGAGGGAGGACGGCAUAUCUGGUAAAGAUGCUAUGUUGGGGCAACACCCUAUAGAAAGACUCUCCAGACUUGAGAGGGAUUUUAGAUUUCUUGGUAGGGACUCCGUUUUGCAAUACCAAAAUCCCAGGCACUUGACAGAUGAGAGAUUUGCAGGCUCUUCAAAUGAAACCGACGGUUCUUUGCAAUAUGAAAGAUCAAGAUUCGGUGGGACUGUAAAUCCUUCAGCCAUGAGCAUGUGGUUGAGCAAUACGGAGGUACUAACCGUGAGCGAUUCCUGGACACGAAACUGUGAGAUGCACUUGACAGUGUGGUUUGCAACAUCUUGUAGAGUUAGGUACUUAAGGUGCAGGGCAGACAAGCCUUCAACAGAGUAAAGAUCAGGGAGACCAUUUAGACGUAAUGAUUCAAGGGAGGUCAGGUGGCCAAUCGAUAAGGAUGGGGAGCUUCUGCAGACAUCAAAGGAAAGAUGUUUCAGAUGUGGCAAGCCAUUAAUGAACGAAUCAGCUGCAAGAAUGCAGCCACGGAUGUGGAGGUCUCCAUCAAGGUUCAACGGCAUUAGUUCUGCUCCACGUGCUAGCUCUAAAAAAGGACAAUCCGAACAGUAAAAAAAGGAAAGAGAUGGAGCAGCACGUAAGCCCCCCAUUGAUUUGAGACACAAACAACCUGUUACAACCAACGUGUCAAGCUUUGUCAAAUGCUCAAACACCUUUUCUGAUGGAAGUGUAGUUAAUGCCAUAUUAUAUUUCAAUUUUAAAUUGCUCAGUGAAGUGAGGCCACCAAGGCAAAUAGCUAAAGCUUCAUCUGUAAUACUGCAUGAAGAAAGAGAAAGUUCACAGAGUCUUGACGGUAGAACCAAUGGCAUGUCCAUGGUCCUUCCAUAAAUGAAUCUUAUCCUCUGCUCAUGGCAAAAGAGCCAUGCCUUGAUGAUGUUUUCUUUCAUCCAUACUUUAUCUUCUCUUUCUUCCAGACCACUUUCAAUAAUUUGAAGAUGCUUUGAUAUAUCAUCAUCCAUCAUCAAUGUCAUCAAUUGCUUCAGAGAUGAAUAGUCUUUCGACAGUACUCUCCUAACUUUUCCUGAAUCCACCUCCCACGUCAAUGCAAGUUUAGAUGCCAGGUCGUCUGCCUUCAUUAUUAUAUUUUCCCUCAAGUCAUGCUGUCCUAGCUCAUUGUUGGUGAUAAACAUAAGCAGUGGGCAAUAAUCAAUUGAUAAAUCUGUAAGGCCUACUGGAAGAUUAGAUAGUUCCUUCAAAUUUGGAACAAUGUUUAUACGCAACCUAGAGCAAUUCCGAACGAGCUCUGUAUCUGGUGGUAGGCCUUCUAGCAAACUGCAAUUACUAAGCUCAAAACUUUCCAAAUUCUCAAAAUAGGAUCGCUCUAGUAACCACCCAGGAUAUGUAUCAGAUCUGUAACCUUCGAUUGUGAGCUUACUCAGUUGGGGUGGCGGUCGCAGACCCUCUAGAACAUCCAAAUGCAGAAUAUUCAUUGCAUCCAUGCCAUUCUCAGAACUCCACUCAAGUAUCAACUCUUUAAGGCGACUUUUUAGAUAUAGCUUCGACGCUAAGGCUUCAUCCUUUCCAAUGACAUUCUCAAGAUUUUGUACAUGUAAACUGCCGCCAAGCUCAUUCAAGUCCUUUAGCUGUCGCAACUCAUAUCCUUGCUUCUUUUGCACAGAAAAGUCAUAUAUCUGUUGUAAAGAAGUAAGCUUGCCAAUGUUGGGAAUUUGGUCCUUAUACCCUCGCAGAUACCGUAACUUACUUAAAUUGCAAACUUUGUUAGGCAACCUCUCCACCAUGCCGUUUAGCUGAAGUAGUUGUAAGUGCCAAAGAGCACAUAAUGAUCUAGGCAAUUCAAACACUGAUGUUCUGUUGAGGUCCAAAUACCGAAGGUGCUUCAGCUCACCAACAGAUUUAGGUAACUUGUUGCUGUUGUGAAAUGACAAAGACAAUACACGCAACUUCUUCAAGUUCCACAGCAUCUGAUCAAAAAUAAUACUUGCAUUAUCCAUUAGUGAAUCGAUGCAGAUAACAGUGCGUAAAUGAUGUAGCUUGUAGAUAAUUUCCUUAUGCUUUUGCAUACUUUCAACACGAACAGAUAGAUGUCGAACAGUGCAUGGUAUCUCUGUCACAUUAUCAUCUUCUAAUCUAAAGCAGUCUUCUCUAGAGAGUGACUCUGCAAAAUCAUGAAGGAUAUCAUGCAUGACAUAGUACCAACCGUACCUUUGGAAGAAAGAUACAGAGACCAUAUCAUUGAAGUAAUCCAUCCCAACCUCUUCUAACGUUCUCCUACUCAAAUUGCAUGAACCAAUAAAUCCUUCUGCCACCCAGAGGUGAACCAACUCUUCAGGUCUAUAUCCGUGACCUUUUGGAAACAAGCUGCAAUACAAGAAGCACCUUUGCAGACAUGGAUCUAACUUUUCGUAGCUCCAUAACAAAGAUGUGAAGGGAUCACUUAAAUCUCCAAGCUUUAGAGCAGCUUUCCACUCAGCAAUAUCCUUUCUCCUGCACAUUCGGGAACCAAGAACUUUUGCUGCCAAAGGGCAUUGUCCAAGCCUUUUAGCAAUCUCCUCUGCAGUGUCUUGCAGCUUCAUGCGUAACAGUUGGUCUUUGAUUUCUGCUCCAGAGAAAGCAUGGUGUUUAAAAAGAGCCAAAAACUCAGUAUCAUCCAUGUUUUCCAAAUGAAUGACAUGUUCUUGUUCACAACAAAUAGCGGCCGGAAGUGUUUCACUUCGAGAAGUCACCAAAACUUUGCUCCCUGACUGUUUAGAGACUAAUGGAGCAAGGAAUAACUCCCACUCUGUCUCAUUAUGAGAUUUUUCAAACCAAACAUCAUCCAAGACAAGCAGGAAUUUCUGUGACUCUUGUAGUAUAUCACGUAAUUUGCACUGGAGAGUAUCGAGAUUAUCAACACGUGGGCACUCCCCCUUUUUUGCGGACUCAAUGAUCUCCCUUGUGUGACGAUGCACAUCAAGUUUGCGCGAGAUACAGAUCCAUAUCCUGACAUCAAAGCAUUCUUCAAUCCUCUUGUCAUUAUAGACAUAUUGUGCUAAGGUAGACUUACCCAUUCCUCCCAAUCCAACAAUGGCCAAACCGGAGUACUUAGUUGAGCUUGCCUCAGCAGUUGUUGUCUUGCCGAGAAGAAAUUUUACUAUGCGAUCACGAUCGCUGUUGCGACCGAAAACCUUGGAAGUGGGAAGUGAUGUAGUUGUGGGAACAUGGGUAGGUGCUGCAGCUGGCCACUCGGUAGUAUUGCCAUGUGGCAAGCCAAGAAGAUCUCGAAGCUGCUUGGCUUCUGUCAGAAUAGCUUUGAGCUCGUUCAUCUUGCUAAUUAGCCUUCUGUUCCCAGGGAGCAAGUUGCGUGCCCUGUUCAUAGCAGAAUGAAAAGGCUUCAUGACAGUGGUUGCAGUGGAGGAGCUUUCAUCCUCUCGGAGCAGGGGACCUUUUCCGCUCUUGGCCUUGGCCUUAAGGACGUUGUACUCAUGCUCGUCCAGCAGGUCCUCGGCAUCAUAGAAGGCUUCUUUGAGACGCCGAAGCCAGGAUUCCAGCUUGCCCCUAUGGGGGCUCUUCUGGGCCGCUUGAAUCACCAACUCGAACUGUGGCAGGACAGUGUCUUGUAGUCGUUCGAUCUCACGCACCAUGUCCACACUGAGGUAAGCUGAAGCUUUAGUAAGAAGCUCCUUGACAAUCGGCGAUGCUGCCCACCUUAAGCCAACUAGCGCCAAGUCCGCCAUGAAGUUGGAGUAGUUUGUGCUUCCUCUUACUUUGUGAACCAAGAAAAAAAAAUAUGAAUGGGUGAACGAUGGGAAGUAGUAACAAAGCUGUUCUUUUUUUUUUCUUUUUCUUCUGCAGAAGGCAAGCAGCUGAUAAAAACCGCUACAGACUCGAGAAAACCUAGAAUUGGAAAGACGCGUAAAAUUAGUGAAUCUAAAUUGACAAACCAAUUAUUUUCCAGCAACGCAAAGGGGAAAUAGCAGUCGAGAUUGGUGAUCUUACACAAGUAAAGUAAAUCAUGGGCGCAUGGAGCUGGAAUCGACAACAAGCGCGAGGCCGCCGCAGUGCAACGCAGCAACGAGGGAAGCAGCUCCGUCGGGCAGGCAACGCAGGAUUGCUGGGAAAGGAAGCAGCGUGGAGAGGGGAAGGUGGGAAGAUUGGGAGCUGUUGGGGUGAAGGAGUCAGCAUCGACAGAGACAAAGGAAGCUUCUGGGUAGCUCUAAUGACAGGGACAGAUUCGGCUGUGUUGGGAUCUAUAGUAAUUCUGAAAAAAAAAACAGAGUAACAUAAUUAAUUUUUAAAAGGAUGUUUGGUUUCAAAAAUUAUUUAAUAUAAAAUAAGACGGUACAUCAUAGGUCUAUUCUAUAAAUUUGUUAUUUUUAAUAUUAAUACUAACUAAUUAAUUGUAAAGAAUGAGACGAUAAUGAAUCAACUCAUUUUAUUAUAUAACUAAAAAAUGCGAAGUGAGAAAAUAAUGGAAUAUCUCAUUACUUAAACCAAACACUCUGUUAAUUCUUACUCUCCUUUCGUAUUUGAGAGAGAGAGAAAAUAAUGUAAGUAUCUUUUUCUCUCUUUUAUUGAUUACUAGGUCAGUGCUCGUGCGUUGCAACGGGGACAUGGAAUAUCUCGAUAAUUUAUAUAUGCAUAUGUGUUAUACGAUUAUGAUAUGGAUGACAACAUUCACGAGCCAUCCGUAAUGAUAUCAAAGAGAAACCCAGGCCUGCAACCGAGAUGUUAUCCGGCAGCCCACACGGUAUGCGAACAAUGUAGGCUCCGCCACUCUCACCCAUCCCCUCUCCAUCAUUGGAACCGGCGCAUAACAUCUCGGUUGGCUCACCGUAGCUCCAGUCCACGUCAGGAGAUGACACUUGACGAGUGAAGAGGUCCACCCUGUACACUCCAGCCAUCAUUGACAUCGCUCUUGCAAGUUCGGCCACAUAUUUCACAUGUGAGAUUCAAAGAUCAAUCGCACUCAACCAUGAAAAACUUGACUCGACAUAAGGAACUUCUCCCAAGUAACUGACCAAUGAUGUUUACCUGGCCACCUGUAUCAGAAUCACGACCUAGUUCCAUGUUUUCUCCACGAACAAGACCAUGCAUGCUGCAGUCAAAAAGGCAGUCAACAAAGAAACAGCUUGUGAAAAUCCAGAGGUUUAACUGUAAAUUAUUUUUAUAAGAAAAAAUACCAAAUUUUCUACUCCUACGAUGUGCAAAGUGCAAAGAAAACUAAGGCUAGAGGCAUUUUUUUAAGAAACGACGGCAAAAGCUUUCCAUGGAUUUUAUUAGACGUAGAAUAAAAAAACUAUAGCCAUAAAAAAGGCUAGAGACAUUUCAUUACGAGAUAUAUAUAUGGUUUAGCAAUUUAGCACAACAUAGAACGAAACAAUGUGCAAGUGGGUAGACCUGAUGAGCACAAUGUAAAGCUUCUUCUCCUUAUUGUCGUCAGACCAGACGGUAAGGUCAGAGAAGUUCCUCUGGAACUUCUUCUUGGUCGUCUCAACCGGCGCAAACUCGUCGAUGGUGUCUCCCUUCUCGCCUUCUGACAGAUCCUCGGCCAGGUCCUCCGUCGCCUCACGACGCACCUGCUCCUGUUCCUUCCUUCUUGCCGAGAUUGCACCGGUUAUGUGGGGAAAGAGUAAUAAAAAAAUGAGAAACAAGUAACGUAAGCAGGUUAAAAAUGAAAGCAACUAAAAGAAACAGUAAAAUACUAAAGAAUUGAACAUUAUUGUUCUCGUGGACCAAGACAUGGUAGCAAGAAUAAUUAAGCAAAACAAAAAUAAUAAAAAAUCCUGCUGCAUAUAUGCAUGAUAAGAUAAUAAAUGCUGCUGGAAAAGCAGACUAAGAAAAUAACAUGACUAACCUUUGUAUCUAAUGCUGGAUGAGAAACAGGGGCGUCAGAGUUUUCUUGCCCAUCACAGCUAGCAUCAGCCAAUGGUUGCUCAAACCCAUCUUGCAGCCUGUGUACUUUAGACAUUUCAAUUGUCUUGGUUGCAACUUCAGCCUCCAAUUUAGCACCAUUUAUUGGAUCAGUAGAUAUAUUACUAAACUGACCAUCUAAGCUCUGAGCAUUUUCAAUCGAUACAUUUCCAGUUGAUACAUCAUGCUCAUGUUCUUAUAAAGCAUGACUAUAGGUGCAUCCUAUAAAGCAUCCAUGAGGAUUGUAUGCUAUUAGAGUUACUAUUGUUCCAGAGGAGGGGGUGGUGGCAGUUUCCCCUCCAUGAGCCUCUGCCCCUGUGCAUCAGUUCUGUAGGUCUCUCGUCUAAAUUGCUUCUAUCUGCUAGAAGUUAACUAAUUAAAUGGCAUACAUCUUUUGCCAGCUUUUGUUGAUAAUUUGUUAAACAUUAAAGUCUCAUGUUCUGAACAUAUUCUCCAGAACAAAGCUGAGACUUGUGGUGAACUUUAUUUUCCUGCAUUGAGUUUGAAACUAAAGCUUGCUGGUGAAGACAUGGCCAAAUUUGCCAGAUGCAUGUGAGAUGUGGAGUCAGGAAAAUUGAAAGUUGAUCAUUUUCAAAUUGCGGGUUUUUAAUUAACAAAUGCAUGAUUCUUCUGCUUUUACACCUCAAAACCACUAUAUUAAGGAAGCUUGUACAUAAUACAUGUUUUAACAGGUGGACAAAUGAAAGUACCUGCAGUAUUUAUUUGCCUUCAUUAGAGAGUAGGUAACAGUCAUGUUCUUUUUGCUUGUUGUAGCUAUGUACUUCAGUGAAGAUUGGAGUAAUGCCUUGUCAUUUAAAAGACUCGCCAAGUAGAACCCAAAAUACAUAAGUUAUUGAGCAACAUGUAUGUCAUUUAAAAUUUGUAUUCCUUGUUUGAGCUCAGUUUGCUAAUUUGAGUACACAUACCUGCAAGCAAAAAAAUAUGGAUCAACUGCAACAUUAAAGUAGUUAUAUGCAACAAGUUAGCUACUUGAAACCAUUACUUUGAAAAUGAGACUGCCAGUAUCAGCAAGCGAGCGACUUGUGUUUUACCUCGCGCAUGGAGCAAUCCAUUUCCAUCAACCAUGAGCAACUGCAACAGGGCAGAAUGGCAAAACCUUAGAAAGGGCAUGGGUAAAUACAUAGAAGAUGCUGGUGAUUAUGCAAGACAUCUCAUAAACUAAAAUGAUAAAUAGUCAAGAAAAGCAAUUGAUUGAGCAGUAAAAUUCUUCAAAUGUGUAGCUCCGGUGGUCAUUAAGUGUAUUUACAUGUUAAGAAAUCAGAAAUCAGAUCCGAACACAUAAAGCAGGGCAGAGAAUGGGUGCAGGGGCGUACAUGGUUGGUGCUCGUUGAGAGCACCUAGAGGGGGGGUGAAUAGGUGAUCCUGUAAACUUCAGAACUUAAGCCACAAAACUUUGAUUAAGUGUUAGCACAGUUAAUGCCAAGUGGCUAGAGAGAAGUUCUUGCACAAUAUGAUAAUCACAAGUAGUUCAACACAGAGAAGACACAGUGAUUUAUCCCGUGGUUCGGCCAAGUACAAAACUUGCCUACUCCACGUUGUGGCGUCCCAACGGACGAGAGUUGCACUCAACUCCUCUCAAGUGAUCCAAUGAUCAACUUGAAUACCACAGUGUUAUGCUUUUCUUUCAAUAUCCCGUUUGCGAGGAAUCUUCACAACUUGGAGUCUCUCGCCCUUACACUUGAGAUUCACAAAGAAAUACGGAGUAAGGGAGGGAAGCAACACACACAAAUCCACAGCAAAACGCGCACACACACGGCCAAGAGUCGAGCUCAAAAGACUAUCUCAAGGUUCUCACAAGAACGGAGCUCGAAUCACUUAGAAUGACAAUCGGAUGCGCAAAGACUGAGUGUGGAUGAUCAGGAAUGCUCUAAGGUUGCUUGGUUGUCUCCUCCAUGCGCCUAGGGGUCCCUUUUAUAGCCCCAAGGCAGCUAGGAGCCGUUGAGAGCAAUUCCAGAAGGUCAAUCUUGCCUUCUUUCGUCGGGCGCACCGGACAGUCCGGUGCACACCGGACACUGUCCGGUGCCCGAUUUACUUCCAUAAACAGCGCAGCCGACCGUUGCCGACCGUUGCAGAUCUGGCGCACCGGACAGUCCGGUGCACACCGGACAGUCCGGUGCCCCAUUCCGACCGUUGGCUCGGCCACGUGUCGCGCGCCGAUCGCGCGGCCGACCGUUGGCCCGGCCGACCGUUGGCUCACCGGACAGUCUGGUGCACACCGGACAGUCCGGUGCACACCGGACAGUCCGGUGAAUUUUAGCCGAAGUCGCCGGAGAAAAACCCGAGAGCGGCUGGUUUGCUCCGCGCUGGUCUGGCGCACCGGACACUGUCCGGUGCACACCGGACAGACCGGUGCCCCAGCCCGAAGCAGCCCUCCACUCCUCUUCUUCUUCCUGGUACUAAGGCUUAGAAACAUACCUUAACUUGUGAUUUGCACUUUGUUCAUCCAUGGGCAUAUUUUCACAUUUAAGCACUUGUGUUUGCACUCAAUCACCAAAAUACUUAGAAAUGGCCCAAAGGCACAUUUCCCUUUCAAUCUCCCCCUUUUUGGUGAUUUAUGCCAACACAACAUAAAGCAAGUGGAACAAGUGCAAAACUACUUCAAAUAAAAACUAACUUUGAGUUUUAUUCAAUUUUGGCAUAUAUGGAUCAUCCUUUGCCACCACUUGGUUUGUUUUUUGCAAAUCAAACUCAAAUCUCUAUCUCUAAGUCAAACACACAUGUUGAAGCAUAAAGAGAGUCAUUCCAAAGAAAUUUGACCACGGAUUUCAAAAACUCCCCCUUUUUCCCAUAAUCAACAUUUCUCCCCACAAGAAGCCAACUUUUGACAAAAGAGACAAUACAAGAGUUUUGACAAACCAAAGGCUCUAUUAUACUUUUUCAAAAUUUCUCAAAAUUUCUCAAGUGGUAGCUGAUCCAUUUAUUGCUUUGGCCUUUAUUUUCUCCCCCUUUGGCAUCAAGCACCAAAACGGGAUCAAUCUUGGCCCUGGAACCCCAUUGCCUCACCAAAAUUUUCAAUUAAGAGCAAAUGGCAAUAAGAGUUCAUGAGAUGAACUUGGAAGUAAUUACCCUCUCAUCGGAGUGCAGUGGAAGUCUUUCAUGGUCCAAGUCCACCUUUUCCCUUUCAAUUCUCCUUCGAGACUAGACCAAGCAAACUCAAGCAUAUGGUUAGUCUCAAAGGGUCAAGUUGUAACACAUCUCCCCCUAAACAUGUGCAUCACUUUGCAAUGGACUUGUGAGGUCCAGGGAGUGUUUGUACAACUUGAGCACCACAAUAAGCAACAAAAUGCAGAAUGAACAUGAUCAAGGGCAUAAACACAUGUAUGCUACAAUUCAAUCCAAGUUCCGCGAAUCUAAGACAUUUAGCUCACUUUGCAGCCUGCAAAAGGUCUUCUCAUCUAGAGGCUUGGUAAAGAUAUCGGCUAGCUGGUUCUCGGUGCUAACAUGAAACACUUCGAUAUCUCCCUUUUGCUGGUGGUCUCUCAAAAAGUGAUGCCGGAUGUCUAUGUGCUUUGUGCGGCUGUGCUCAACAGGAUUCUCCGCCAUGCGGAUAGCACUCUCAUUGUCACAUAGGAGUGGGACUUUGCUCAGAUUGUAGCCAAAGUCCCGGAGGGUUUGCCUCAUCCAAAGUAGUUGCGCGCAACACUGACCUGCGGCAACGUACUCGGCCUCAGCGGUGGAUAGGGCAACGGAGGUUUGUUUCUUAGAGUUCCAUGACACCAGGGACCUUCCUAAGAAUUGGCACGUCCCCGAUGUACUCUUCCUAUCGACCUUACAUCCAGCAUAGUCGGAGUCUGAGUAUCCAACUAAGUCAAAGGUAGACCCCUUUGGAUACCAGAGCCCGAAGCAAGGCGUAGCAACCAAAUAUCUAAGAAUUCGCUUCACCGCCACUAAGUGACAUUCCUUAGGAUCGGAUUGAAAUCUAGCACACAUGCAUACACUAAGCAUAAUAUCCGGUCUACUAGCACAUAAGUAAAGCAAAGAACCUAUCAUUGACCGGUAUGCUUUUUGAUCAACGGACUUACCUCCUUUGUUGAGGUCGGUGUGUCCGUCGGUCCCCAUCGGUGUCUUUGCGGGCUUGGCGUCCUUCAUCCCAAACCGCUUUAGCAGAUCUUGUGUGUACUUUGUUUGGGAGAUGAAGGUGCCGUCCUUGAGUUGCUUCACUUGGAACCCAAGGAAGUAGUUCAACUCGCCCAUCAUCGACAUCUCGAACUUCUGCGUCAUCACCCUGCUAAACUCUUCACAAGACUUUUGGUUAGUAGAACCAAAUAUUAUGUCAUCGACAUAAAUUUGGCACACAAACAAAUCACCAUCACAUGUCUUUGUAAAAAGAGUUGGAUCGGCUUUCCCAACCUUGAAAGCAUUAACAAUUAAGAAAUCUCUAAGGCAUUCAUACCAUGCUCUUGGGGCUUGCUUAAGUCCAUAGAGCGCCUUAGAGAGCUUACACACAUGGUCGGGGUACCGUUCAUCCUCACUAGAUUCAUCAUCACUAGAAGAAUCAUAAGUAUUAGCAUUACGAGUGAUUACCUUCUUUUCCCUUGCCAUGAGGCAAGUGUGAUGCUCGUUGGGGAAGAGAGCCGAUUUGUUGAAGGCAGUGGCGGCGAGUCCCUCAUUGUCGGAGUCGGAGGAGGAGCAAUCCGAAUCCCACUCCUUGCCGAGAUGCGCCUCGCCCUUGGCCUUCUUGUAAUUCUUCUUCUUUUCCCUCUUGUUUCCCUGUUCCUGGUCACUGUCGUUAUCGGGGCAGUUAGCGAUAAAAUGACCAAUCUUACCGCACUUGAAGCAUGAGCGCUUCCCCUUUGUCUUGUUCUUGCUUGGCUGCCCCUUGUGACCCUUCAGCACCGUCUUGAAUCUUUUGAUGAUAAGAGCCAUCUCUUCAUCAUUGAGCCCGGCCGCCUCAACUUGCGCCACCUUGCUAGGUAGCGACUCCUUGCUCCUUGUUGCCUUUAGAGCAAUGGGUUGAGACUCGUGGAGUGGACCGUUCAACGCGUCGUCGACGUAUCUUGCCUCCUUGAUCAUCAUCCGCCCGCUCACGAAUUUUCCAAGUACUUCUUCGGGCGUCAUUAUCGUGUACCUGGGAUUCUCACGAAUAUUGUUCACGAGAUGAGGAUCAAGAACGGUAAAUGACCUGAGCAUUAGGCGGACGACGUCGUGAUCCGUCCAACGCGUGCUUCCGUAGCUCCUUAUCUUGUUGAUAAGGGUCUUGAGCCGGUUGUAAGUUUGAGUUGGCUCUUCUCCCCUUAUCAUGGCGAAUCGUCCAAGCUCGCCCUCCACCAACUCCAUCUUGGUGAGCAUGGUGAUGUCGUUCCCCUCGUGAGAGAUCUUGAGGGUGUCCCAUAUCUGCUUGGCGUUGUCCAAGCCGCUCACCUUAUUGUACUCUUCCCUGCACAAAGAUGCUAAGAGAACAGUAGUAGCUUGUGCAUUUUUAUGAAUUUGUUCAUUGAUAAACAUAGGGCUAUCCGAGCUAUCAAAUUUCAUUCCAUUCUCUACAAUCUCCCAUAUGCUUGGAUGGAGAGAGAAUAAAUGACUACGCAUUUUGUGACUCCAAAAUCCGUAGUCCUCCCCAUCAAAGUGUGGAGGUUUACCAAGAGGAAUGGAGAGCAAAUGCGAAUUCGAACUAUGUGGAAUACGAGAAUAAUCAAAUGAAAAGUUCGAAUUGACCGUCUUCCUGUAGUCGUUGUCGUCGUCCUUUUGGGAAGAAGAGGACUCAUCGCUGUCGUAGUAGACGAUCUCCUUGAUGCGUCUUGUCUUCUUCUUCUUCCCAUCUUUUCGCUUGUGGCCCGAGCCCGAGUUGUUGGACUUGUCAUCCCUUGGCUCGUUGACGAAAGACUCCUUCUCCUUGUCGUUGAUCACAAUUCCCUUCCCCUUAGGAUCCAUCUCUUCGGGCGGUUAGUCCCUUUCUUGAAGAGAACGGCUCCGAUACCAAUUGAGAGCACCUAGAGGGGGGGGUGAAUAGGUGAUCCUGUAAACUUCAGAACUUAAGCCACAAAACUUUGAUUAAGUGUUAGCACAGUUAAUGCCAAGUGGCUAGAGAGAAGUUCUUGCACAAUAUGAUAAUCACAAGUAGUUCAACACAGAGAAGACACAGUGAUUUAUCCCGUGGUUCGGCCAAGUACAAAACUUGCCUACUCCACGUUGUGGCGUCCCAACGGACGAGAGUUGCACUCAACUCCUCUCAAGUGAUCCAAUGAUCAACUUGAAUACCACAGUGUUAUGCUUUUCUUUCAAUAUCCCGUUUGCGAGGAAUCUUCACAACUUGGAGUCUCUCGCCCUUACACUUGAGAUUCACAAAGAAAUACGGAGUAAGGGAGGGAAGCAACACACACAAAUCCACAGCAAAACGCGCACACACACGGCCAAGAGUCGAGCUCAAAAGACUAUCUCAAGGUUCUCACAAGAACGGAGCUCGAAUCACUUAGAAUGACAAUCGGAUGCGCAAAGACUGAGUGUGGAUGAUCAGGAAUGCUCUAAGGUUGCUUGGUUGUCUCCUCCAUGCGCCUAGGGGUCCCUUUUAUAGCCCCAAGGCAGCUAGGAGCCGUUGAGAGCAAUUCCAGAAGGUCAAUCUUGCCUUCUGUCGUCGGGCGCACCGGACAGUCCGGUGCACACCGGACACUGUCCGGUGCCCGAUUUACUUCCAUAAACAGCGCAGCCGACCGUUGCCGACCGUUGCAGAUCUGGCGCACCGGACAGUCCGGUGCACACCGGACAGUCCGGUGCCCCAUUCCGACCGUUGGCUCGGCCACGUGUCGCGCGCCGAUCGCCCGGCCGACCGUUGGCCCGGCCGACCGUUGGCUCACCGGACAGUCCGGUGCACACCGGACAGUCCGGUGAAUUUUAGCCGAAGUCGCCGGAGAAAAACCCGAAAGCGGCUGGUUUGCUCCACGCUGGUCUGGCGCACCGGACACUGUCCGGUGCACACCGGACAGUCCGGUGCCCCAGCCCGAAGCAGCCCUCCACUCCUCUUCUUCUUCCUGUUUCUAACACUUAGACAAGAAUAUUAGUACACAAAACCAAUGUACUAAGGCUUAGAAACAUACCUUAACUUGUGAUUUGCACUUUGUUCAUCCAUGGGCAUAUUUUCACAUUUAAGCACUUGUGUUUGCACUCAAUCACCAAAAUACUUAGAAAUGGCCCAAAGGCACAUUUCCCUUUCACUCGUCGCCGGUGAAGGACCUCGGCCUGGGCACCUCCUGUCGUAGGGAGCGCGGCGGAAUCAAGUAGUCUCGAUGGAGAUGGCCUAUCAAUCUUCUACAUCAUCCAGCUCCUCGAAAACAAAAUCCUGAACGCAUGGAGCAACAGAAGAUUAUUAGUAUAUACCAAACAGAGAUUAGUAUCUCCCAGUUUUGCUUGCGGUCCAGAAUUGGCUGGCAGUGACCACCUCGAGGAUGGUGUCAGUUCUGAACUCCUUCCUCCAUUUCAGCAUCUUCGACCACAUCAGCAUCGCCUUAUCGGCUUUGAACUUCCUGGCCUUGAGGAACCUGAACCAAACCGCGAGUUUCAAGCACUGGCAUAGUGGCAUUCAAUGAACCGCGUCCAAAUGCAGCGCAGGCAACGAAACAGAGGGGUGGGCUUUAAUGUGACCUGAGCAUCAUGUGGUAGUCACCGUGCUUGUCGGGGAGGAGGCCGUGCGCGGCGAGGCGGUCGUGGAAGGAGGCGACGGUGCGCUCCCCUGCCACCAGUACAAGAUUCAUAUUCCUCCAAUGAAUGUGGAUUCAGAGGAAGGCAUAAUUCCUUGUCAACAAAAAGGGGUUCUAUCGUCCAGCAACCCUCAAACUUCCUCAUAAAGCCAUCUCGCCCUUGCCUAAACUUUACCUGCAGAAGGUAUUGCAUGGAUCAAAAUAUCAGGCAAAGUAUUGCAUUUGCUAACCAAAGGAUAAUGUCAGUGUUUCAGUUUUUUACAGUGUGUUUUUUUCUGUUCUGAUCAACAAAAACAUGAACAAAAAAGGUGCCAGACCACCAAAAGAACUUCUAGAUUGCUGUCUGCUCCACUUCAAUAUCAAUAUUAAUAUAUAAGGAAAAAAAGAUGGACUUCCAUAUAAACUACCCAUAUUGAGCAUGUAUUGUCUUCUCUACUCUUACUUAGGGGGUGUUUGGUUUUAGGGACUAAUUUUUAGUCCCUCCAUUUUAUUCAACUUUAGUCCCUAAAUUGUCAAAUAUGGAAACUAAAAUAGAGUUAUAGUUUCCGUAUUUGGCAAUUUAUAGACUAAAAUAGAAUAAAAUGGAGGGACUAAAAAUUAGUCUCUAUUAACCAAACACUCCCUUAAUAGGAUGUACAUUUUAUGGUUAUGGAGUAAAGACGUUGGCAGCUUCCUCGCACAUUCUAAUUACUGAAACAGAGAUAAUCCAAAGCAUUACAAGUCACAUGAGGAAGAAUACCAAAACAAGUUCAAUGAUUCCAAAGGGUAACUCGCUGUUAAACUCAUCUCCAGGAAAAAAAUCUAUGUUCAACUUUUCAUGUAGUUCAGUUUUACAAUGGUGCUUUCCUUCAUUAUGCUCAAACACUAAAAAUCAUAAAAUUAGCAGAUUGAACUAACAGGGUUAGCAAUAGGUGAGCUACGGAAAAAUAUUGGAUGGCUUCCAUGUGAGUAGGGUCUAGAAAAGAAAUAACCGAGGCAAGUCUUAUCCCUAUAUAUAUUUUGCAGAGAGGCUACCAAUACAAAUAUUAUAUAGAGGGCGUUGCAGUUGAUUUUUCAUAGCUUGACAGUAGUCAACAUUUUUGGCUCAGCAGAUGGUAAUGCCUCGUCUCUAGCUGCUGCUGACGGGGUGAUACUGGGAUAGCCGUAGCUUUGCAGGAAUCCUCCUUAGAAUGUACAGGACAAGAGAUGAAGGGAGAAUCUCCACAAGCUGCAGAAAAGAUGGUAAGAAUAGUGGAACAUCAGAGUUAUAGUAAGUAUCAAUUCGAAGUUGCCACACUGGAGCAGGAGACUUAAUUUCGUGCUUUGCAAACUUCAUACAUACCAGGUAAUAGAACAAAUUCAGAACUGGAUGGUCAAGAACAUCGAGGUCAGCUUCCUCGUCAAAUGCAUUGAAGCACAUCUGCAAGAAAUGACAUUGCAAAUUUCGUGAACGAAAUGUAAGAGCUAAACCUGCACAACUUCCAGUGGACAGAAACCCUUACCAUUAUGCAUCGUGCCGAGAAACAACAGAAACAUAUGGUGGCAACUCUGCCGACUUCUCUCAGCUUUUGUUGCCUCCCUUUUGACUCAAUAGGAAAUAUUUUAGCAUGAUGAAAAGCCUGAACAAACAAGAAAUGUAAGUGCAUACUGCAUAUUUGGAUGUAGUGUGGUAGCUAGAUCAAACCCUGAACUUAAUGCAUAUCACUAAGUACUAACGUAACACUUUUUAGAUUUAUACUCCUGCGGUACAUGUUUUGCAGACAACCUAGUCAAUGCAAUUGGCUAACAAAAAGAUAAAAUAAAAAAUCCAUGCAUUGUUGUUCAUGACUUUAUUAAAGAAGCAUUGAGUAGUAUUCAUGAUCUUGCCUUCCUCCAUAGAUCAGAAAACCCAAGGCAGUGAAAAAAGAAAGACCAGUAAUCAUGAACUGCCAGAUAGUAAUAACUUAUAAAAUUGCUUACCUUAGAAAAACGACCACACCUGAAUACCUACCUACCAGUUACAGGAAGGUGCGCUGUUGUUUACCUUUCCACGAUAGACCACUGCGUCAGUAUUCUCAACAACUUCACAGCACAGGAGCUGCAUACCUACCUACCAGUUACAGGAAGACCAGUAAUCAUGUGUUGGUAAACCAAACCGCUAAUCAGCUGAAAGAAUUUUAUGCAUUUGAUGGUUUCUAUCAGGGCAAAAAGAACUUACCCCUGAUACUGUUUUCAACUGAGGGAUGUUUCAAGACGACAACAUCCAGCGUGAUUUUGACUCCCUGCUUUUGCUUGUCAGGUGGAUGAUCUAGAAAGAAAGGAACACGAGCAUGUUUGGCGGCUCAAGCACCACGCCUACAGAACUAAACACAUCUGAUGGUUCUCUUAUGAGUACACAACUGUUAUGACAAAAGGAUCAGCCCAUUCAAGAUGUCCCAUGUUAGGUUUAGGUUCUACAGAAGUAAAAAUAGUCGCUACUUCAUCAAGUUGAGCAAAAAGCAUAAAUACUGGACAACUUAGAGCUAGUCUUCAAUUGUACCUUCACCAUUCCAAAUAUAGACCUUUGGAUGUCAAGCAAAUUCUUUAAAUACAACAUCAGCGACCUGCAAACAGAUAGUUAAACUAUCAAGCCUACCAACUUGUACUAUAGAAUAAACUAUCAAAUUCCAUAUCUUCCAUGGUGUUCUCAGAAGAAUGAGAUUCUGACACUCCACAACUAUCUAGCACAUAAAAUUUCUAUGUUCCAUUUUCUAGCCAAGGCCCUAAUCCUGACAGGUGGAAUUGGAAUACCUGGUUUCUGAUAGAAAUCGCUUUUGCGAGAUCUGCGGAGAUGGGGCAUGGUGUACCAUGAGGAGGAACAUCGCCGGUGGAGGGCAGCGCCGAGGCUAGGCGUGAGGUACAGGCUGUCGCGUGCGGCGGCAGUUCAGGCAAGAUCUGCGGAGUCUGGGGCACCCUCCUUACAGGUUGUCGUGGGCAGGGCAAGUGCAGGCAAGAUCUGCGGAGGCGGGGCAUGGUGUACCAUGGUGGACGUCCUCCUUACAACCUUAUAGAGUAGUAGUAGAUUGAUAAGCCUGACACAUAACGAAUUUUCUGUAAGAAAUAAGGAUGGAACUUAUUACUAAUGAUGUCUAUCAAAACGGAACUUUUUCCUACAGAAAGCAGAGCUGCUAUCUAACUUUCUAACUUGGCUGAACUGACAGCAUAGUGACAAAAUUCAUUGGCAAUAAGGUGUCUUAGAAAAACAAUCUGAAUCCAACAAUAUUGGACUCUUGUAGAAAACAAUUUCAAGACACAUGCUUUAGUGACCAUGCAAUAAUUUAAGGCUUCUUUGAAGAACGACAGGAUAUUGCACAUUGCACUAACAUAUGGCCAAUGUUGGUGAAUAAAAUGAGUUUCUUUCCUUCUAUAAAUAAUCCCCUGUCACUUAUACACACUAACCAUCCACUACAAAGGGCGAUGUAAGCUUAACAAAUUAAGCAUAAAAUCAGUUACUACUAUUUGUUAAGUUGAAUGGGUAAACUAAAAACAAUUACUAUUGUCAUUUGGUUGUAAAUAAAACAAAGAUAGAAUUCCUUUCUAAAAAGCUAAAUAAUACUUCAUGAAAUUGGGCAUGAAAAACUAACAAACAAUGCUUGACAUAUUUAUAUUAUUUAAGAAACAAGUUCAGCUCACUUGAGUUAGCACAUCUCACUAUCGAAAUAGGGCAGAUGAAAGGCUUGCUAUGGCCAUACAAUAUCAUGGUAACAAAAGGCAGAGUUAAAGAUAAAAGUAUAAAAAAGGGCAUACCUUUGAUAGAGUUUGCAGGAAACAAUGCUUUCAUGUCUAAAGGACACAAUGCAACAUCAUCACUGAGCUGGCGGAGCCUCAGAAUGAAAUAAAGCACAGUUGAGUAAUUACCCAAAAUCGAAUCUCUGUCACCGAAUUCCUGCAUUUUGUUCCUCCCUUCCUGUUCCAUCUAAUCAUAGUAUUCACGCUCCUCUGCAGAAAGAUCAAUAUAACAAGCCAAAACAGUUUGGAGGGAAGUUCAACCAUGCUCUUGUUUCCAUCGUCCAUCUCUUUGAUUCCGCAAUGAAAUAGCACCUAAGAGGUUCUGGAAUAAGCACACAAAAGAAACUCGAAAUUUGUGAGUGAAAGAUAAGUAUUUUAGAUCACUUUGAGCAUGCACUGUUUAAAACAACCAAAUUAAUCGAUGUCCUAUAUGGUGAAAAUUAAGAAGACAGGAAAAUUCAGGUCAACUUACUUGCAACCGUGACAAUCCAGUCUUACUUCCUUUCUCUAAGGGGUGCUGGAUCAAGCUCUGCCAGCAGCUCUUUAUUGAGAAAGGCUAGAAUCUCAAAAAUGCCAUGAGGGUGUAUAAAUCAAAUGAGUUGUUCUGAAUGGGUGUCCCAGUGACCACCCACCGCCUCUCUGCAUUCAGAGCGAUAACCGCCUUCGUCUGUCGUGCUGCAGAGUUCUUGAUCAAUGGCUUCAUCCAGGAUCACACGAAACCACUCGAUAUCCUUCACCGGUGAGUCCUCCUGCUCAAAUUCUGUCCCCAGAUGCUGUAGGUGGUAAGAACGAGGUCGUACUUCAACAGCUCCUUCUUAUCUCUCGUCCGUCGCCAUGGUACAGUAGACUUUCAGGCUGCCUGCUUUCAAGUACUCCUCCAGUUGUGUCACCCAAGAUGAGAACACCGAGGGUGGCAGACCACAAGUGUGGUCCGCGACCCCUCCCUCCGUCCUCAACCUUCCUCCUCUGCUCCCUCUAGCCUUCUUCGCACCCACAUUGCGAGCUUUAGUCCUUCCAAUCAAUGACAAGAGUGUAAGUGUCUUCCCUAGCCCCAUAUCAUCAGCGAAGAUCCCGCCCUUUAACAGCGACGGUCAUUUCUCCGUCUUUUGAUUGGUAAGCACGUUCUCGAAUCCCCAUCUUCACCUUCUUGCCAGAAGGGCGGCAGGUCGGCGGACUCCUCCGGUGCACCAUCCACCCAGCGCCUCCUUCUGGUGUCCGAGAGCUCGAUAGCACGACAUCCCGGGCGGGUCCAUGGCUGAGUCUGAUUCUUCCUUUCUUUCCCCACAAGCGAGAAGAGCUUAUCGACGUCGUGUCGCGNNNNNNNNNNNNNNNNNNNNNNNNNNNNNNNNNNNNNNNNNNNNNNNNNNNNNNNNNNNNNNNNNNNNNNNNNNNNNNNNNNNNNNNNNNNNNNNNNNNNUCUGGGCCGCUUGAAUCACCAGCUCGAACUGUGGCAGGACAGUGGCUUCUAGUCGUUGGAUCUCACGCACCAUGUCCACACUGAGGUAAGCUGAAGCUUUAGUAAGAAGCUCGUUGACAAUCGGCGAUGCUGCCCACCUUAAGCCGGCGAGCGCCAAGUCGGCCAUGAAAUUCAGUAAGAAGCUUUUUUUUUCUUUUUUCUCUGCAGACACAUAAAAUUAAUGAAUCUGAAUGAAAAAAAUGAAGCACAAACCAAUUAUUUUUCUUUCUCGCCAGAUCCAGCAACACAAAGGGGAAAUAGUAGCUAACACAGCAAGCGAAAAAAGUGGAGAUUGGAGAUCUUACACGAAGUAAAAUAAAUCAAGGGCGUAUGGAGUAGAAUCUGGAACAAGCACAGCACAGCAAGGAGGGAAGCAGCUCCGUCGGGCAGGGAACGGAGGAAUACCGGAUGGUGUUGCUGAUUGCUGGUGAUAGAUGAUUUGUUUUUUAUGUAGAAGAGACCGAAGGUGCCGUAGACUGCUGAGGGUCUACUGCUCGCUGGGAAAGGAAGCAGCAUGCAAAAGAGAAAGGUGAACAAGCGGUGAACAAGCGGAGUAGACUAGUCUAUGGAUUAGGACUGCUCUGAAUUAUUGUUGGGAGCUAGUGUAUCGAUUGGGACUGCUCUGAAUUAUGCAGUUCGAGUGAAUAAACACAGACAAAGAAAGCUUUUGGAGCUUUCCUUGGAGUCCCCUAUUUUUUUUAGACAUGGUUGUACGUUGCAAGAGGAGCUGAGCUUGAUAUGAAAGUAGAAGACGAGAUCCCCAUGAGUUGGACCAACAAUUCAUCUGGCCAUAAAAAUUGAGAGCUUCCAGUACAGACCAAAAUCCUAAAAAAAACUAUCUCUUUCAUUUCCAAUUUGCAUCCAGUCCUUAAGGCAUAGCAGUUCCUCUGCGCUUUCGGUCCUAUUUGGUUCCACUUUUCUAGAAUCCUAGAGAUAGACUCAAUACUAGGAACCUUCUGAUGAGGAAAAACAAGGCACUGGAUGAUUACAGUUGUGUUCCGUGUAAUAGUGGCUGUGUGGAAACAAGCCUCCACGUUUCCUUUGAAUGCAGUUUUGGCUUACUACUUUGUGCGUUUGUAUAUCUUUCCGGUCUCAAAAUAAAUUUUCAUAAGAGCCAACUUUUCUGUUAUGAUGCUACUAAAGAACGAGAAUUGGAAUACUCAGAAUUUUUUUAUGUAAUAAAGGGCAUUAUCCUUUCAAAUAUCUGGGUAUUCCAAUGCAUCACAGAAAGCUUAGUAUAAUGAAGAUUAUAAUGAUAUCAUAAAAAGAUUUAAGAAAAGAGUUAGUGGGUGGAAAGGGAAAAUAUUGUCUGUUGGUGGUCGACUAGUGCUAAUUAACUCCAUCUUAACAAGUCUUACGAUGUUUAUGUUGUCCUUUGAAAUUCCAAGGAAGGUUCUAGAGAAAUUAGAUCAACUAAGAUCUCGUUUCUUUUGGGAAGGAGAGGGGCAUAAAAAGAAGUAUAGAUUAACUAAGUGGAGUAUAGUAUGCACACCAAAAGGCAUGGGAGGAUUAGGAAUUAUAGACCUUGAUCUUCAAAAUAAAUGUCUACUAAGUAAAUGGCUUUUCAAGUUAAUUAAUGAAGAGGGUAUGUGGCAGUCAAUUCUUCGUAAUAAGUAUCUGAUAAAUAAAACAAUCACCCAGGUGGAACACAUGCCUGGAGAUUUGUCACACCCGGGUUUCGGGGCACCAAGACCCGGGCGCGAACAAUCACCAGGUGUGCUGGGACCAAGUCUCACACAUAUGAUGAAUCAUGGCACAUGAUCAAAUGUCACAACUUUACUAUAUAAUAGGAGUUCUAUACAAAAUAAAUAAAUAAAUACAUUAUAAGGAGACAACGGUCCAGCAACCCAAAGUUGACUGGGAGACGACGACCUAGACCUCUCACGAACUCGUCCUCCAUGCGCCUCAUCCUGUGGUACCUGUUCUUGACCUGUGGGGGGUGUGAGACAGCAAGAGUGAGCUCACAUACGUUCAUCGCUCAACAAGUUGUGGGGAAUAAUGUGCAUGAACUCGCCAAAGGUGGGAGCUCACGUGAAGUGUAAGGCUUACCAAAGAGGAUGGUUAGAGCUGAGCAUUGCUUUUAAAGUUGGUCAAAAUUUUAUUAGCAGUUACUAAUUAUAAGUAAAUACCAACCCAAUUAAGUAGUAGAACAAAGUAACAACAUCACCUGCAAUGCAAUGCAUAUGACAAAUUGAAUUUAAGUUCCAUAAUUUAAUCAUCAGAGAGUCCUGAGCUGCUCAUGACCGUGAGCUCGGCUAGUAUACCAGUUUUACACUCUGCAGAGGUUGUACCCUUUACCCACAAGUCAUGUUACCCAUCUACCAAGGAAUCGCGACUUCCCAUACACCUCUACCGAGGAGGCGAGGCAGGGUAACACUACGAGGCCUUUACAAAGUUCCACUAGCUUCAGAAAACCCGCUACAAUUUAUAGGAAGCUCCAAUGCAGGGUUCUUGCCUGAUCGCCAUCGCAGCAAAAUCAACCAAGGACCUCCCUACACUGACCACUCCCCUACUACCCUUGCCCCUUUCGGGUAAGGUAGUCCUCCACUAGCUUUCCUAAUUAAUCAGCCAAGGGCGUCCAUAAACCCUUGUGGUGGCACGUGUUUCUCAAGUUAAGCUCUAUGUUCCAAUUAACGUUAAUGAUCUUGACAUGAACAUAAAUAGAAUAACAAAAUAACUGGAACAUAGAUAUGAUAAAUAAUUAUCCCAAAUCCAUGUAAAGCAAUAGCAAACUACCCAAGUGAUUCAGGGGUAAACAAGGUAAUGAGAUAAACAAUCUAGGGUAACCUAUUGGGUCCCAUCAAAAUUAACCUAUGCAUGAAUAAAUGAUAUUAAAGAACAUUAUUGGGUAAAAAGUGGUCAAGGGCAUAACUUGCCUGGGACUUGAGAUUCCAGGUACCAGGAUGAUUCUUCAGAUCCUCGUGACCUCACUGCUAAUCGUAGCAAUACAAACAAACAUGGUAUAGGCAAAAUAAACAUCACACCAAACAUAAGAACAAACUACGUAAUAAUACUCUACGCGUUGCUACGAGAUUGUGGGAACGAGAACCACUAAAAUCGGAGUUACGGUCACCGAGUUAUGAUUUUAUGUAGUUAUUAAGUACCUAGAAUAAAGUAAUUCAUGUGAAUAAUUUUAAAUCAAGUUUCACGGUUAAAUAAAGGUACUAGGUGAUAAAAAUACUUAACCCAAAUUAAUUCCACUGGAAUGAAUCAAUUUGGAGUAAUGGAUUUUAAGUUAUGAAUUUCUAAAGGUUUUAUGUAUUUGAUACAAGAUUGAUUAAGAGAUACAUUUUAAUAUGAUUUUCAUGUCAAAACAGUGGUACUAGACGAUGAACAAUAAUAUUACAAAAUUAUAGGAACUGAAAUGAAUUAAUUUGGAGCUAGAAUGGAUUUUCUAUGAAUUAAAUAAAUUCUAGCUAUUAUUUUCAUAUUAAAAUCCAUUUCUAAAUUAAUUUCUCUGAUUUCUUAAUUCCCUGGACUGUGCCUCAAUUUCUACACAAGACAGGGGCCUCUGCGCAAAGGUCUUAAGACACAGAGAACAGCGCCCAAGGACGGUGGGUUCUAAUUCUGGCAAGUGGAGGGGCUCAGAUGCAAAACAGACCCGACGAAGGGGUAUUUAGGGUUUUCGGCCGUAGGAUUAGAUCUGGACGGCACGGAUUAAAUCAAUCUUCAUCUGAACCGGUACGGAUUGUAGUCCACAGGAUCUAGAUCUGAUGGCUACAAUUUAAUAAAAUGCGAUCUUCUUUGAGCCGUAGGAUAUCAGAUCUAUGGUCACAGGUCCAACGCCCUAGACGGUAUGCCCGAACUAAUCUGGACCGCCCAACCGUGGAUCCACGGUUCCGCGUUUGUUCUUCAUCCCUCAGCCUGAACACGGCCGCGCACCAGUGAACGACGGCGGAGCUAUCGCCGGAGUGCGGCGAUCCAUGGCACUGGUGCACUACUCCCCGAUUCGCAACACUCUACACAAAUCUCAGGCCAAAGCUAACCGCAGGGAAGAGGUCUCACCAGAAGUGAAGAUGGGGACGAGGUCGGACACGGUGUGGUGCGGAACGCUGGCAUCGAAGUCCCACGGCGGCGGCGAUCUGACGAGGCAGGCUGGUAGAGAGCCCGCGGCGCGAGGAGAGACAAGAGAGGGGUCGGCACGGAGGCGAGCACUAAGGCGGGAGAUGGCAAGGUUAGCAGCGGCGGCACGGCUGGUGAUAUGGCUCAGCGGACGCGGCAGCGACACCCACGACGCCGGGAGAUGGAGACCGAGCGGUCGACCACCAGGUGGAUUGCACGAGGAAGAGGAGAAGGCUGGGUGGGAGAGAAGGCAGGAGGAAGCCUAGCACACAACUUAUAGCCCCGCGCGGGUCAGUUCCGGUUGCAAGCAACGGACUCCGAGUUCCCUGGAGGUAAUACCGUGAGUUUGUUGCGUGAGGAGAUCACGGGGAGGAAGACGUAACGCCCGACAACCGGGCCCAUGUUGUCAGCCAGCAAGGCAGGGGUGGGCUGGCGCAAGUGAAAAGUGGGCCGGCCAGGGAGAUUUGGCCACACGGCUGAAGUGGUUUCUCUUUUUUAUUUUUCUCCUUUUUCUAUUUUCUCUCAUUUUCUAUUUUCAAGUUUCUCCAAAUUAGAUUUUAAUUUCUCAUUUGUUUUCAAAGUCUAACUCCAAAUCAAAUGCAUAACUCAUGAACUUCAGUAUGAAUGCAAGAAUAUUACUUUCAUUCUUUAUUUGCUUAUUAUUUAUUUCCUUCAAAUAAAUACUUCUUGAUAUAAGGAUAAACCAAUAAAUGGUUAUUUAUUUUAGGGAAUAUGUUCUAAUGUAUAACUACACCAAGCUAUGCUAUUAGCUUAAAUCUUUCAUGAGAGUACUUAUAAUUCAAUAAUGGGAUAACUAAUUUCAUUUGGGUACCUUUUUAAUUAACUCUUUAUUAUGAGGGAUAUUUAUUUUAGGGGAUAUGAUUUCAAAAAUAUUCUAAAAAAACUUUGGAGAAUUCUACCCAAUUCAAAAUGAGAUUUUUGAGGUGUUACAAAUCCUACCCCUUAACAGAAAUCUGAGAAAGGGAUGUUAAAAAAACUUUAUUUAUAGUUUAGCCUUUAACUUCUAAUUAGUUUAAGAAUAAGAAGUUUCAUGUUAAUUAGAAAGUGACUAGGAAAGCAUGGGUAUCUAUAUGUAUAGUCAUUUUAUUAUAAAAGAUGGGUAGGCUAGGGCAAGAAGAGCAUAUGGUAAGAAAGUUUAGGGUGAGAAAGAACUUUGUGCUGGAUGGUAGUGCAUCCGAAAGUCGAGUUUGACUUCUCUCCUUCCUUGACGAGGUUGAUCUUGUUCUUUUCCGGUCUUGGUCUCAUUGAGUCGGGGUCGGUGUAUAUCAUCAGAGUUGGGGGAAUAUGGUUAAGAUAGUUAUGGAUGAGAUAGACUACAUGACGUAGGUCAAAAUUUGGUUUGAUGUCAGGUGGGGGUUGAUAGAUUAUGCAAUCCAUCAAGACUCUAUUGGUUGUGUUAGAUCUCAUGCAUGUGGCUGAGUUGGUCUAAGACACUAGAAGUUUCAAGUGCAUGGGGGGUUAUGGCCUUAUCUUUUGUACCAGCAUUAAGUAUCUUACUUUUAGAUUAGAUCAUAAUAGAUUAGAUGGGAUCUAGAUUAGAUUGGUAUGACUAGUUUGACUAGAUAUGAUCUAAUUAAUUUGCAUUAGAUCAUGGUUGUUAAACUAAGGUGGAUAAGUAUGCUUAUUAGGAUAUGAUGGAUCCAUAAAGAUAGAAUCUUUUGAGGUCAGUUAGAUCUACUAGGGUGACAUAAUAUCUUUUCAAGAUAAGAUGAGUAUCUUUUUAAGAUAAGAUGGAUCUAUGAGUGUAUGAUAGAAUCUUUCAAGAUGAGAUAGAUAUUGUUAGGCUAGAUACUUUAAUGAGGUAGUUUAUCUAGUUAUUUUAUAAAUAUUUUUUAUACCUAUGUGUAUAUUCAGAUGCAAUUGUGGAUAUUACUCCACAACCCAUCACAUUCAAUCAAAGAUCCAAAUCAUACAAGUAUCAUAAGAACAAGCAAUCAAGUGUAUAGAUACCUUAAAAAAUAGUUUUAUUUUUGUUCCUAAGAGUAGGUCUCCUAUUACUAGAGAUCACUUUAGGCACAGGAUUUCAAAGUGUGAAAUCCACAUUGGUCUUUUAGAAAGAAAAGGUAAGAGUAAUCAGAGUAAAGCGGAAAUAGAUGAGAAAAGAUUAAUAAAAGUUUAGAAAGAAUCAGAGUAGUAGAGGUAAGUAGAUAAUGGUUAUCCUUUUCUAUCUAGGUUUCGUCCUACAAUCAACAUUCCUCUGAUACCACUUCUGUCACACCCGGGUUUCGGGGCACCAAGACCCGGGCGCGAACAAUCACCAGGUGUGCUGGGACCAAGUCUCACACAUAUGAUGAAUCAUGGCACAGGAUCAAAUGUCACAACUUUACUAUAUAAUAGGAGUUCUAUACAAAAUAAAUAAAUAAAUACAUUAUAAGGAGACAACGGUCCAACAACCCAAAGUUGACUGGGAGAUGACGGCCUAGACCUCUCACGAACUCGUCACAGCAUCCUCCAUGCGCCCCAUCCUGUGGUACCUGUUCUUGACCUGUGGGGGGUGUGAGACAACAAGAGUGAGCUCACAUACGUUCAUCGCUCAACAAGUUGUGGGGAAUAAUGUGCAUGAACUCGCCAAAGGUGGGAGCUCACGUGAAGUGUAAGGCUUACCAAAGAGGAUGGUUAGAGCUGAGCAUUGCUUUUAAAGUUGGUCAAAAUUUUAUUAGCAGUUACUAAGUAUAAGUAAAUACCAACCCAAUUAAGUAGUAGAACAAAGUAACAACAUCACCUGCAAUACAAUGCAUAUGACAAAUUGAAUUUAAGUUCCAUAAUUUAAUCAUCAGAGAGUCCUGAGCUGCUCAUGACCGUGAGCUCGGCUAGUAUACCAGUUUUACACUCUGCAGAGGUUGUACCCUUUACCCACAAGUCAUGUUACCCAUCUACCAAGGGAUCGCGACUUCCCAUACACCUCUACCGAGGAGGCGAGGCAGGGUAACACUACGAGGCCUUUACAAAGUUCCACUAGCUUCAGAAAACCCGCUACAGUUUAUAGGAAGCUCCAAUGCAGGGUUCUUGCCUGACCGCCAUCGCAGCAAAAUCAACCAAGGACCUCCCUACACUGACCACUCCCCUACUGCCCUUGCCCCUUUCGGGUAAGGUAGUCCUCCACUAGCUUUCCUAAUUAAUCAGCCAAGGACGUCCAUAAACCCUUGUGGUGGCACGUGUUUCUCAAGUUAAGCUCUAUGUUCCAAUUAACGUUAAUGAUCUUGACAUGAACAUAAAUAGAAUAACAAAAUAACUGGAACAUAGAUAUGAUAAAUAAUUAUCCCAAAUCCAUGUAAAGCAAUAGCAAACUACCCAAGUGAUUCAGGGGUAAACAAGGUAAUGAGAUAAACAAUCUAGGGUAACCUAUUGGGUCCCAUCAAAAUUAACCUAUGCAUGAAUAAAUGAUAUUAAAGAACAUUAUUGGGUAAAAAGUGGUCAAGGGCAUAACUUGCCUGGGACUUGAGAUUCCAGGUACCAGGAUGAUUCUUCAGAUCCUCGUGACCUCACUGCUAAUCGUAGCAAUAUAAACAAACAUGGUAUAGGCAAAAUAAACAUCACACCAAACAUAAAAACAAACUUCGUAAUAAUACUCUACGCGUUGCUACGAGAUUGUGGGAACGAGAACCACUAAAAUCGGAGUUACGGUCACCGAGUUAUGAUUUUAUGUAGUUAUUAAGUACCUAGAAUAAAGUAAUUCAUGUGAAUAAUUUUAAAUCAAGUUUCACGGUUAGAUAAAGGUACUAGGUGAUAAAAAUACUUAACCCAAAUUAAUUCCACUAGAAUGAAUCAAUUUGGAGUAAUGGAUUUUAAGUUAUGAAUUUCUAAAGGUUUUAUGUAUUUGAUACAAGAUUGAUUAAGAGAUACAUUUUAAUAUGAUUUUCAUGUCAAAACAGUGGUACUAGAUGAUGGACAAUAAUAUUACAAAAUUAUAGGAACUGAAAUGAAUUAAUUUGGAGCUAGAAUGGAUUUUCUAUGAAUUAAAUAAAUUCUAGCUAUUAUUUUCAUAUAAAAAUCCAUUUCUAAAUUAAUUUCUCUGAUUUCUUAAUUCCCUGGACUGUGCCUCAAUUUCUACACAAGACAGGGGCCUCUGCGCAAAGGUCUUAAGACACAGAGAACAGCGCCCAAGGACGGUGGGUUCUAAUUCUGGCAAGUGGAGGGGCUCAGAUGCAAAACAGACCCGACGAAGGGGUAUUUAGGGUUUUCGGCCGUAGGAUUAGAUCUGGACGGCACGGAUUAAAUCAAUCUUCAUCUGAACCGGUACGGAUUGUAGUCCACAGGAUCUAGAUCUGAUGGCUACAAUUUAAUAAAAUGCGAUCUUCUUUGAGCCGUAGGAUAUCAGAUCUACGGUCACAGGUCCAACGCCCUAGACGGUAUGCCCGAACUAAUCUGGACCGCCCAACCGUGGAUCCACGGUUCCGCGUUUGUUCUUCAUCCCUCAGCCUGAACACGGCCGCGCACCAGUGAACGACGGCGGAGCUAUCGCCGGAGUGCGGCGAUCCAUGGCACUGGUGCACUACUCCCCGAUUCGCAACACUCUACACAAAUCUCAGGCCAAAGCUAACCGCAGGGAAGAGGUCUCACCAGAAGUGAAGAUGGGGACGAGGUCGGACACGGUGUGGUGCGGAACGCUGGCAUCGAAGUCCCACGGCGGCGGCGAUCUGACGAGGCAGGCUGGUAGAGAGCUCGCGGCGCGAGGAGAGACAAGAGAGGGGUCGGCACGGAGGCGAGCACUAAGGCGGGAGAUGGCAAGGUUAGCAGCGGCGGCACGACUGGUGAUAUGGCUCAGCGGACGCGGCAGCGACACCCACGGCGCCGGGAGAUGGAGACCGAGCGGUCGACCACCAGGCGGAUUGCACGAGGAAGAGGAGAAGGCUGGGUGGGAGAGAAGGCAGGAGGAAGCCCAGCACACAGCUUAUAGCCCCGCGCGGGUCAGUUCCGGUUGCAAGCAACGGACUCCGAGUUCCCUGGAGGUAAUACCGUGAGUUUGUUGCAUGAGGAGAUCACGGGGAGGAAGACGUAACGCCCGACAACCGGGCCCAUGUUGUCAGCCAGCAAGGCAGGGGUGGGCUGGCGCAAGUGAAAAGUGGGCCGGCCAGGGAGAUUUGGCCACACGGCUGAAGUGGUUUCUCUUUUUUUAUUUUUCUCCUUUUUCUAUUUUCUCUCAUUUUCUAUUUUCAAGUUUCUCCAAAUUAGAUUUUAAUUUCUCAUUUGUUUUCAAAGUCUAACUCCAAAUCAAAUGCAUAACUCAUGAACUUCAGUAUGAAUGCAAGAAUAUUACUUUCAUUCUUUAUUUGCUUAUUAUUUAUUUCCUUAAAAUAAAUACUUCUUGAUAUAAGGAUAAACCAAUAAAUGGUUAUUUAUUUUAGGGAAUAUGUUCUAAUGUAUAACUACACCAAGCUAUGCUAUUAGCUUAAAUCUUUCAUGAGAGUACUUAUAAUUCAAUAAUGGUAUAACUAAUUUCAUAUGGGUACCUUUUUAAUUAACUCUUUAUUAUGAGGGAUAUUUAUUUUAGGGGAUAUGAUUUCAAAAAUAUUCUAAAGAAACUUUGGAGAAUUCUACCCGAUUCAAAAUGAGAUUUUUGAGGUGUUACAAGAUUCGCAUUUUUGGGCAGACCUGUUAGGUGUUAAGGAUAUCUUUCUUCGCCUAGGCCUUUUCAAAAUUGGGGAUGGGACUCAAGUCUGUUUUUGGGAGGACAAAUGGCGUGGUAACGCAAUGUUUAAGGAACUUUUCCAUGGACUCUAUGAUAUAGUCCGCAAAAAGAGAGCUUUUGUUGCUUCUGUUUUAAGAUCAAAUACAAUAAAUGUGGCCUUUUGUCGAUCCUUGGUGGGUAAUAAUCUUAUGGCUUGGCAGCAGCUCAUAGCCUUGAUUACCAAUACUCAACUAAACGAUCAAAGGGAUAUUUUUAUUUGGUCCUUACAUCAGCAUGGGAAGUUCACAGUGUGUUCUAUGUAUAGGUCUCUGGUUAGGCCACAAGUGGUUCCAAGAAAUCAUCCCAUUUGGAAAAUCAAAAUUCCUCUUAAGAUUAAAAUCUUUAUGUGGUACCUUAUAAAUAAUUUAGCCCUAACAACUGAUAAUUUAGUGAAGAAACAAUGGAAAGGCUGCCUACGAUGUGUAGCAUGUACGUUAAAUGAAUCCAUUCAACAUCUGUUCUUCGAUUGCCAUAUUGCUAAAUGUGUUUGGCGUUGUAUUCAAGUUGCGUUUAAUAUUUCACCUCCUAGGAGCAUUGAUCAUUUAUUGACACAGUGGCUUUAUGGGGUUGAUAUGAAACUUAGCAACAAAAUUUGGUUUGGAGCGAGUGCUAUAUGUUUUUUUAAUAUGGCUUUGUCGAAAUGAUGUGAUUUUUUAACAAUGCACAAGUUCCUACUCCUAUCAGGUACUUUUCAGGGGUACAUACUGGAUGAGAUAAUGGAUGCUGCUGCUAAAGGAAGAAGACAUAUUACAAGUAAAGCAGGGAUGUAGGCUGCUUGAAGUCGCAAUGAUGCAAAUCUUUGCUAAAAAUGGCUAGAACUUUAGUAAUCGAUUGUGCUUGUAAUCUGUAAUGUAGUGGUGGCAUCUAUGUUUCGAGUAUGGUUAUGUUCCUGUUUGAACCCAGAAUAUUUGGUGUACUAGACAGCUAUAUGCAUAUUGUCAUGCAGAGGCUGGAAUAAUCAAGUUAUUCCCUUUUCUAAAAAAAUGCUGGAACACAAUUCCCAUCCAACGGGAUCUGAGUCUACCACCUCUAGUCUCUAGACAUGAUGAUUGAAGCUUUGGUUAUCUAAUAUUCAGAGAAAUAGAUGUUACAGACGGUUAGAUUAUUUGGAGUACUUGCAAUUUAUAGCAUUAUCUUUGACAAUGUUUUCGUUUCAGACUUUGUCAGUUUCAGGACAUAAGACUUGGCACAUUGAAUAAUAGGCUACUGUGCCAAACCUCAAUCGCCGUGGAAUCAUCAAGAUCCAAUCAGCAACAACAAGUUUCCUGCGGCAAUCAACAGAUGUGUGCAAGAGGGCCUGCAAUUUUUUUGCAUGUCACGUUAAUUAGACUGCAACAUUCACAUUUCGAAACAUAAAAAAAACAUCACUGCACUGAACAAGUUGGCAAGCUCACUUUCAACACGGAGAGGUACGAAUCUCAUAAGACAGUGUACUUCCCAACCAUAGCAAUCCUCACCUAAGAUAAUCACCGUUAGUUGCAUGGAAAUCCUAAAACCACAUGAAGUAGAUACAGUCAUCGGCUAGCAGCAAGAAAUAUCGUUGCCCUGUGUGCGUCAGUGGAGUGAUUAGCCUGCAAAGGUGACCGUGGACGAGCUCCAGCGAGAUACUUGCUUGCUGCCUUAGGAAAGGAGCUUCCUCUGCUUCCCCACCAACCAUGUAUCUGCUACCUUGCCAUCCACCCGAGCACGUCG